RNAcentral lists this transfer-messenger RNA (398 nucleotides) under Sphingobacteriaceae. RNAcentral's name for it is "Pelobium puniceum Standard tmRNA". It matches the Rfam family "transfer-messenger RNA". Rfam says of the family: Bacterial tmRNA, also known as 10Sa RNA or SsrA, is named for its dual tRNA and mRNA-like properties. The record is from RNAcentral. Lineage: Bacteria; Pseudomonadati; Bacteroidota; Sphingobacteriia; Sphingobacteriales. RNAcentral also lists the same sequence under 1 other name.
GGGGUCGACCGGAAUUGACAGGAUGGAAGAUCAGUGUGUAAGCAUGCAGCGAAUUGAGAAAACAUCGCUAUAAUCAGGAUUCUCAAACUAUAAAAGGCGAAAAUAAUUACGCUCUUGCUGCUUAAUUUUAACCGAGUUAAAAUUAGCCUCGUCUCGCUAAAGUAGCGGAAGCAGGAUGUUUCCCGGGAGUUAUGUCUGGCGACACCCGAUUAGGAAGCACCGAAAAGCCGGAAUAAGGAUAAGUUAGUUUCGAGCUUAUCCCGACAACCAAAGAAACUAAGGUUAAAGCAGGCUGUUUGUGGCCAACUUUAGCUCUAAAAUCAAUUGCAAAAUAAGCAUGUAGAAAGCGCAACUCAUCCCAUGUUUGGACGAGGGUUCGAAUCCCUCCGGCUCCACAU